This is a long non-coding RNA of Gallus gallus (chicken), 380 nucleotides long. The record is from Ensembl. NCBI's taxonomy places the organism in Eukaryota, Metazoa, Chordata, Aves, Galliformes, Phasianidae.
CAAAGAAGAACCCAAGUGGGAGCAAAAGCUGCAGCAAACAAUAGCCUGCCUGAAAUCGCACAACAGGAUCAGUACCUCUAUGAGAAUAGGAUCUGCUGGAAAACACCCUGAACGCAGGAACAACCCGAGCACCCAGAGAUGCAGCCCAGCCUUCAGCCCUCUGGUGAGGACCACCCAACUGUGUUGGGGCCAUUUCAGAUGUCCCCAUGAAGUUGAACCCUGUCUGCGUCAUCCCCUGCUCAUCCAGAGCUGACUCAGAGCUGACUCAUUGAGUGCUACCAGCACCCUGUGUUUAAUGGUAGUAAGUCUUGGUUAAAUAAGUCUGGGGGCUCAUUUCUUUUCCAUUUUCUUCUAAAGCAGCUGAACAGGGCAGUGUGCAU